Molecule: ribosomal RNA, 253 nt
Filed under: uncultured bacterium
Lineage: Bacteria
Description: partial 16S ribosomal RNA
Rfam family: Bacterial small subunit ribosomal RNA
Source: RNAcentral
GACGAACCGUGCGAACGUUGUUCGGAAUCACUGGGCUUAAAGGGUGCGUAGGCGGGUUGUCCAGUCUGGGGUGAAAUCCCACGGCUCAACCGUGGAACUGCCUCCGAUACUGACGACCUCGAGGGAGGUAGGGGCGAGCGGAACUGUGGGUGGAGCGGUGAAAUGCGUUGAUAUCCACAGGAACUCCGGUGGCGAAGGCGGCUCGCUGGACCUCUUCUGACGCCGAGGCACGAAAGCUAGGGGAGCAAACAGG